UACGGAGGGUGCGAGCGUUAUCCGGAAUCACUGGGUUUAAAGGGUGCGUAGGCGGGUUAUUAAGUCAGUGGUGAAAUCCUGUCGCUUAACGAUAGAAUUGCCAUUGAUACUGAUAGUCUUGAAUUGGGUUGAGGUUAGCGGAAUGUGACAUGUAGCGGUGAAAUGCAUAGAUAUGUCAUGGAACACCAAUUGCGAAGGCAGCUAGCUGGGCCUUGAUUGACGCUGAUGCACGAAAGCGUGGGUAGCGAACAGG
RNAcentral lists this ribosomal RNA (253 nucleotides) under uncultured bacterium. Its description in RNAcentral is "partial 16S ribosomal RNA". It matches the Rfam family "Bacterial small subunit ribosomal RNA", at positions 524 to 776 of the family's 1533-position model. The record is from RNAcentral.